RNAcentral lists this transfer RNA (64 nucleotides) under Lampsilis cariosa. RNAcentral describes it as "tRNA-Phe". It matches the Rfam family "tRNA". From Rfam's summary of the family: Transfer RNA (tRNA) molecules are approximately 80 nucleotides in length. Their secondary structure includes four short double-helical elements and three loops (D, anti-codon, and T loops). Lineage: Eukaryota; Metazoa; Mollusca; Bivalvia; Unionida; Unionidae. The record is from RNAcentral.
GGACAAGUAGUUUAAGUCAAACCAUAACACUGAAAAUGUUAAAAUGGCCAUCCGCCCUUCUCCA